Molecule: ribosomal RNA, 493 nt
Filed under: uncultured bacterium
Lineage: Bacteria
Description: partial 16S ribosomal RNA
Rfam family: Bacterial small subunit ribosomal RNA
Source: RNAcentral
GACGAACGCUGGCGGCGUGCUUAACACAUGCAAGUCGAACGGUGAAGCGCCUUCCUUUUUGGUGGGUGUGGAUGAGUGGCGAACGGGUGAGUAACACGUGAGUAACCUGCCCCCUUCUUCUGGAUAACCGCAUGAAAGUGUGGCUAAUACGGGAUAUUCUGGGUCUGUCGCAUGAUGGGUCUGGGAAAGAUAUUGUUUCGGUGGGGGAUGGGCUCGCGGCCUAUCAGCUUAUUGGUGGGGUGAUGGCCUACCAAGGCGGUGACGGGUAGCCGGCCUGAGAGGGUGGACGGUCACACUGGGACUGAGACACGGCCCAGACUCCUACGGGAGGCAGCAGUGGGGAAUAUUGCACAAUGGGCGCAAGCCUGAUGCAGCGACGCCGCGUGAGGGAUGGAGGCCUUCGGGUUGUGAACCUCUUUCGCCAGUGAAGCAGGCCUGCCUCGUUUGUGGGUGGGUUGACGGUAGCUGGAUAAGAAGCGCCGGCUAACUACGU